UCACAGCCCAGUUGGUAGAGCGUGAGACUCUCAAUCUCAGGGUUUGGGGUUUGAGCCCCACAUUGGACAA
Molecule: non-coding RNA, 70 nt
Organism: Podarcis lilfordi (Lilford's wall lizard)
Lineage: Eukaryota; Metazoa; Chordata; Lepidosauria; Squamata; Lacertidae
Source: the annotation of a GenBank genome assembly